Molecule: ribosomal RNA, 457 nt
Filed under: uncultured bacterium
Lineage: Bacteria
Description: bacterial SSU rRNA
Rfam family: Bacterial small subunit ribosomal RNA
Source: RNAcentral
AACGAACGCUGGCGGCAUGCCUAACACAUGCAAGUCGAACGAAGGCUUCGGCCUUAGUGGCGCACGGGUGCGUAACGCGUGGGAAUCUGCCCUUGGGUUCGGAAUAACUCAGAGAAAUUUGAGCUAAUACCGGAUGAUGACGUAAGUCCAAAGAUUUAUCGCCCAAGGAUGAGCCCGCGUAAGAUUAGCUAGUUGGUGGGGUAAAGGCCUACCAAGGCGACGAUCUUUAGCUGGUCUGAGAGGAUGAUCAGCCGCACUGGGACUGAGACACGGCCCAGACUCCUACGGGAGGCAGCAGUGGGGAAUAUUGGACAAUGGGCGAAAGCCUGAUCCAGCAAUGCCGCGUGAGUGAUGAAGGCCUUAGGGUGUAAAGCUCUUUUACCAGGGAUGAUAAUGACAGUACCUGGAGAAUAAGCUCCGGCUAACUCCGUGCCAGCAGCCGCGGUAAAGUAUCGUA